UUGAUGUUUUCAAUUAUUUAUAUGAUGAACAUAGUUCAGAAAUAUAUCGAGAUAAAUCUCAAUCAAUAUAUUGAUUAUUUCUAGGAAACACAUGUCGGUAUGAGGGCACCAUUGUCGAGUACAUCUCAUAUGUAAUCUAAAAGAUGGCACCUCCAACGAUGGGUUGCUGCAAGGCAGGGUUCAUCAAAGAGAACUGGUUGUAUGGCAGCAAUUGUUGUUGCUGCUGCAGGAAGGUAGCGACCAAUGGGUUAGCCACUGCCAAUGGAUUAAGUAACUGUUGUCGCUGUUGUAGGUACGCAGCAGAGUUUGACACAGCCAGUUGGUUGAAUGGAAGCAACUGUUGUAAGUAGGCAGCAGGGUUUGCCACAGCUAGCUGAGUCAGAGCUGGUACAAUUUGUUGCAGCAACUGUUGUUGUAGGUACGUAGGUGCAUUGCCCACCGCGAGCGGGCUAGAUGAAAGUAGUUGUAGGUAGACGGCAGGGUUCACCAUGGCUAGUUGACUGAGCACUGGCAUAAACUGUUGCAGCUGUUGUUGUUGCUGGUAUGCAGCUACGUUCGCCAGAGCAAGUGGGUUGGAUGCAAGCAGCUGCUGUUGCAAGUAGGUGACAGGGUUCACCACGGCUAGGUGGCUCAGUGAUGGCAGAAACUGUUGUUGUUGUUGUUGCGUUGCAAUGGUUUGUAGGGUUAGAUGUGCCAAGGAUUGUUGUUGCAAUUGGGCAAUUGGUUGUUGUAAGGCGCUCGCCGCAAGCGCUAGUUGUAGCCUGUAGGCUUGCACGGCUGGAUGUUCGAAGCCCAUUGAAGUAACUGGUGGGAGGAACUGUGGAAUACUGGCACUAGGAGCAAGUGAGCACUGUGG
This 856-nucleotide long non-coding RNA is filed under the name Zea mays. RNAcentral describes it as "long non-coding RNA (ZMAY_LNC002189)". Lineage: Eukaryota; Viridiplantae; Streptophyta; Magnoliopsida; Poales; Poaceae. The record is from RNAcentral.